RNAcentral lists this ribosomal RNA (377 nucleotides) under uncultured eukaryote. RNAcentral's name for it is "partial 18S ribosomal RNA". It matches the Rfam family "Eukaryotic small subunit ribosomal RNA", at positions 592 to 976 of the family's 1831-position model. The record is from RNAcentral.
CAAUAGCGUAUAUUUAAGUUGCUGCAGUUAAAAAGCUCGUAGUUGGAUUUCGGGUGGGAAUGGCCGGUCCGCCGUUUCGGUGUGCACUUGCGACGCCCACCUUGCUGCCGGGGACGUGCUCUUGAGUUCACGCUCGGGACACGGAGUCGGCGAGGUUACUUUGAGUAAAUUAGAGUGUUCAAAGCAGGCCUACGCUCUGAAUACAUUAGCAUGGAAUAACACGAUAGGACUCUGGCCUAUCUUGUUGGUCUGUAGGACCGGAGUAAUGAUUAAGAGGGACAGUCGGGGGCAUUCGUAUUUCAUUGUCAGAGGUGAAAUUCUUGGAUUUAUGAAAGACGAACUACUGCGAAAGCAUUUGCCAAGGAUGUUUUCAUUAA